UGGGGAAUCUUGCGCAAUGCACGAAAGUGUGACGCAGCAACGCCGCGUGCGGGAAGAAGGUCUUCGGAUCGUAAACCGCUUUCAGUUGGGACGAGGGUUGCACGGUGAAUAGCCGGCGUAACUGACGGUACCUUCAGAAGAAGCCCCGGCUAACUACGUGCCAGCAGCCGCGGUAAUACGUAGGGGGCAAGCGUUAUCCGGAAUCAUUGGGCGUAAAGCGCGUGUAGGCGGUUCAGUAAGUCCGCUCUGAAAGCCCAGGGCUCAACCCUGGGAGGCGGGUGGAUACUACUGGACUAGAGUACGGAAGAGGAGAUUGGAAUUCCUGGUGUAGCGGUGAAAUGCGCAGAUAUCAGGAGGAACACCAACAGCGAAGGCAGAUCUCUGGGACGUAACUGACGCUGAGACGCGAAAGCGUGGGGAGCAAACA
RNAcentral lists this ribosomal RNA (427 nucleotides) under uncultured bacterium. Its description in RNAcentral is "bacterial SSU rRNA". It matches the Rfam family "Bacterial small subunit ribosomal RNA", at positions 355 to 774 of the family's 1533-position model. The record is from RNAcentral.